RNAcentral lists this ribosomal RNA (573 nucleotides) under Saccharomyces cerevisiae (brewer's yeast). Its description in RNAcentral is "eukaryotic LSU rRNA". It matches the Rfam family "Eukaryotic large subunit ribosomal RNA", at positions 64 to 653 of the family's 3401-position model. The record is from RNAcentral. Lineage: Eukaryota; Fungi; Ascomycota; Saccharomycetes; Saccharomycetales; Saccharomycetaceae.
ACUAACGGGAUGCCUUAGUACGGCGAGUGAAGCGGCAAAAGCUCAAAUUUGAAAUCUGGUACCUUCGGUGCCCGAGUUGUAAUUUGGAGAGGGCAACUUUGGGGCCGUUCCUUGUCUAUGUUCCUUGGAACAGGACGUCAUAGAGGGUGAGAAUCCCGUGUGGCGAGGAGUGCGGUUCUUUGUAAAGUGCCUUCGAAGAGUCGAGUUGUUUGGGAAUGCAGCUCUAAGUGGGUGGUAAAUUCCAUCUAAAGCUAAAUAUUGGCGAGAGACCGAUAGCGAACAAGUACAGUGAUGGAAAGAUGAAAAGAACUUUGAAAAGAGAGUGAAAAAGUACGUGAAAUUGUUGAAAGGGAAGGGCAUUUGAUCAGACAUGGUGUUUUGUGCCCUCUGCUCCUUGUGGGUAGGGGAAUCUCGCAUUUCACUGGGCCAGCAUCAGUUUUGGUGGCAGGAUAAAUCCAUAGGAAUGUAGCUUGCCUCGGUAAGUAUUAUAGCCUGUUGGGAAUACUGCCAGCUGGGACUGAGGACUGCGACGUAAGUCAAGGAUGCUGGCAUAAUGGUUAUAUGCCGCCCGCA